UUGCUUCAGCAGCUCGUGUACUAAAAUUGGAAUGGUGCAGAAAAGAUUAGUAUGGUCCUUACACAAGGAUAACAUGCAAAUUCUCAAAGAAGUCCAUAUUUUU
Manis pentadactyla (Chinese pangolin) is the source of this 103-nucleotide small nuclear RNA. The record is from RefSeq and is a predicted model, not a curated record. NCBI's taxonomy places the organism in Eukaryota, Metazoa, Chordata, Mammalia, Pholidota, Manidae.